RNAcentral lists this long non-coding RNA (1029 nucleotides) under Betta splendens (Siamese fighting fish). Its description in RNAcentral is "lncRNA (ENSBSLG00000010311.1)". Lineage: Eukaryota; Metazoa; Chordata; Actinopteri; Anabantiformes; Osphronemidae. The record is from RNAcentral.
GGGAAACUGAGAUCACCAGAGCUCGGUUUCAGCAGCCAUGCUAGCAGCUGCACCGUGAUGCUCGGUGCAGGGAGAGGAGGACCUGAGCUGGGCGGAUGCUUCGUGUGAUGAAAAAUAUCCAUCUGCGCCUUUCAAAUCUUGGAUCGGUCUGUAGCAUGAAACUAAUCUUGAGCCGUCGCCCAGCUGUUUGCGGCGUAAUCUUACCUGCCAGCCAAAGAUCACCUCAGUGCGUUGGGUUUAAAAUCUGUCACUGUUCACGGUGCGAUAUGUGACUAAACACAGAAAUGAUCCUCAAACAUGCCGGUUUUCUGUUAAACCUGCGACGGCGCCAUUGUUUCAAACGCACACGAUUCUUAUAUUAAUGCCGUAAAUCAGACAGAGACAGAAACGUGCUGAGAGGAAAGACCUAGGCUGAUCAGGAAAUGAUCUGAGAAGAGGACAAGAUGGAAGCAAAGUGCAGAGCUGAAUGGGGGAGAGGGGAAAGAGUUUGCCUCGGAGGCCUCUGUCAUUUACGCUUGGAUAAAAAAAAAGAAAAAAAAUCACAGCCUGGGCCCCUGUUUCAUUUCUAUGGCAACCUGAAGGCCAUUAUCGUACCUUGCCAUUCAUUAUGAAAAGACUUGUGCAGUGUAUUUUUCCUGCCUACAGCUGGGAAACAGAAGGGAAAGAAAUGAAUGAGUGAAUGAAGAAACUCCACUCUGCUGCAUGGCGCAGGGUGGUUCAAGGAGUUUAUUAACACCGGGGAUUUUCUGCUGCUGUGCAAAGCAGGAAAACUGUUUUAAAGGAUAUUGCCAAGAUCUCUGUCACAGUGCUGACACAGAGAGGGGCCUCUCCAAAAACAGAAGGUUGGAGCAAACAGAGCAACCGGCGUGGGCACAACCCCAAACGUCUAACAAGGUAACCCCUCGAAGCCACUCACCCGGCCUGGGAAAGUUCAGAGGAGAAAGUGAAGAGCAAACAAACAUCAUCACCACGUUUUCUUUAUACAGUAACAGUGUUGGACCGAUGGGCAGGCUGUGCUAUGCAUUGUGA